AGUGAACGCUGGCGGUAGGCCUAACACAUGCAAGUCGAACGGCAGCACAGUAAGAGCUUGCUCUUACGGGUGGCGAGUGGCGGACGGGUGAGGAAUACAUCGGAAUCUACUUUUUCGUGGGGGAUAACGUAGGGAAACUUACGCUAAUACCGCAUACGACCUACGGGUGAAAGCAGGGGAUCUUCGGACCUUGCGCGAUUGAAUGAGCCGAUGUCGGAUUAGCUAGUUGGCGGGGUAAAGGCCCACCGAGGCGACGAUCCGUAGCUGGUCUGAGAGGAUGAUCAGCCACACUGGAGCUGAGACACGGUCCAGACUCCUACGGGAGGCAGCAGUGGGGAAUAUUGGACAAUGGGCGCAAGCCUGAUCCAGCCAUACCGCGUGGGUGAAGAAGGCCUUCGGGUUGUAAAGCCCUUUUGUUGGGAAAGAAAAGCAGCAGGUUAAUACCCCGCUGUUCUGACGGUACCCAAAGAAUAAGCACCGGCUAACUUCGUG
Molecule: ribosomal RNA, 492 nt
Filed under: uncultured bacterium
Lineage: Bacteria
Description: partial 16S ribosomal RNA
Rfam family: Bacterial small subunit ribosomal RNA
Source: RNAcentral